RNAcentral lists this ribosomal RNA (440 nucleotides) under uncultured bacterium. RNAcentral describes it as "partial 16S ribosomal RNA". It matches the Rfam family "Bacterial small subunit ribosomal RNA", at positions 338 to 795 of the family's 1533-position model. The record is from RNAcentral.
CCUACGGGAGGCAGCAGUGGGGAAUAUUGCACAAUGGGGGAAACCCUGAUGCAGCGACGCCGCGUGAGUGAAGAAGUAUUUCGGUACGUAAAGCUCUAUCAGCAGGGAAGAAAAUGACGGUACCUGACUAAGAAGCCCCGGCGAACUACGUGCCAGCAGCCGCGGUAAUACGUAGGGGGCAAGCGUUAUCCGGAUUUACUGGGUGUAAAGGGAGCGUAGACGGCAGCGCAAGUCUGGAGUGAAAUCCCAUGGCUUAACCAUGGAACUGCUUUGGAAACUGUGCAGCUAGAGUGCAGGAGAGGUGAGCAGAAUUCCUAGUGUAGCGGUGAAAUGCGUAGAGAUUAGGAGGAACACCAGUGGCGAAGGCGGCUUACUGGACUGUAACUGACGUUGAGGCUCGAAAGCGUGGGGAGCAAACAGGAUUAGAUACCCGAGUAGUC